ACGAACGCUUGCGGCGCGCCUAACCCCUGCAAGUCGCACGAGCGAGAGAGAGCUUGCUUUCUCGAGCGAGUGGCGAACGGGUGAGUAACGCGUGAGGUACCUGCCUCAAAGAGGGGGACAACAGUUGGAAACGACUGCUAAUACCGCAUAAGCCCACGGCUCGGCAUCGAGCAGGGGGAAAAGGAGCAAUCCGCUUUGAGAUGGCCUCGCGUCCGAUUAGCUUGUUGGUGGGGUAACGGCCCACCAAGGCGACGAUCGGUAGCCGGACUGAGAGGUUGAACGGCCACAUUGGAACUGAGACACGGCCCAGACUCCUACGGGAAGCAGCAGUGGGGAAUAUUGCACAAUGGGGGAAACCCUGAUGCAGCGACGCCGCGUGGAGGAAGAAGGUCUUCGGAUUGUAAACUCCUGUUGUUGGGGAAGAUAAUGACGGUACCCAACAAGGAAGUGACGGCUAACUACGUG
RNAcentral lists this ribosomal RNA (465 nucleotides) under uncultured bacterium. Its description in RNAcentral is "partial 16S ribosomal RNA". It matches the Rfam family "Bacterial small subunit ribosomal RNA", at positions 29 to 507 of the family's 1533-position model. The record is from RNAcentral.